UGAGUAAUGCCUGGGAAAUUGCCCUGAUGUGGGGGAUAACCAUUGGAAACGAUGGCUAAUACCGCAUGAUGCCUACGGGCCAAAGAGGGGGACCUUCGGGCCUCUCGCGUCAGGAUAUGCCCAGGUGGGAUUAGCUAGUUGGUGAGGUAAGGGCUCACCAAGGCGACGAUCCCUAGCUGGUCUGAGAGGAUGAUCAGCCACACUGGAACUGAGACACGGUCCAGACUCCUACGGGAGGCAGCAGUGGGGAAUAUUGCACAAUGGGCGCAAGCCUGAUGCAGCCAUGCCGCGUGUGUGAAGAAGGCCUUCGGGUUGUAAAGCACUUUCAGUAGGGAGGAAGGUGGUAGUGUUAAUAGCGCUAUCAUUUGACGUUACCUACAGAAGAAGCACCGGCUAACUCCGUGCCAGCAGCCGCGGUAAUACGGAGGGUGCGAGCGUUAAUCGGAAUUACUGGGCGUAAAGCGCAUGCAGGUGGUUUGUUAAGUCAGAUGUGAAAGCCCCGGGCUCAACCUGGGAAUUGCUUCUGAUACUGCUGGACUAGAGUACGGUAGAGGGCAGUGGAAUUUCCGGUGUAGCGGUGAAAUGCGUAGAUAUCGGAAGGAACACCAGUGGCGAAGGCGACUGCCUGGACUGAUACUGACACUGAGGUGCGAAAGCGUGGGUAGCAAACAGGAUUAGAUACCCUGGUAGUCCACGCCGUAAACGAUGUCAACUAGCCGUUGGGGGACUUG
RNAcentral lists this ribosomal RNA (731 nucleotides) under uncultured bacterium. RNAcentral's name for it is "bacterial SSU rRNA". It matches the Rfam family "Bacterial small subunit ribosomal RNA", at positions 107 to 834 of the family's 1533-position model. The record is from RNAcentral.